GGAGACUUCAAAAGCACUCGUUUCUGCUGCAUUUGGCUAAAAAGUACUCGGGGCUUGUCAUACAAACAACUAUGAGACCACUAGAAGAUUUGGACAGUCCCAAAUAUGGGGUUGGACACCGAGACGUAUCUAACAUGGAGACCAUGGCGCAGGGCAGUGUAGUCUACAUGGAAAGAUAGUAACUAGUCGAGGAUUAUGAAAGUACUCACUGUAAUAAGAGUAGAACUCCUCAAGUUGUGUCCAACUAGUAUUCUUAUAAAUCAACUGACCUGUAACCCUACCCCCAACUAUAUAAGGUGAGGCAGGGACCUCCUACAAAGCAAUUUAAUCCAACCAACACACAAGACGUAGGGUAUUGCGCUAUUCAGCGGCCCGAACCUGUCUAAAUCGUGUGUUUGUGUUUACCUUCGAGUUCCUGAUCUCGACAAGCCCCACCAACCAAAACACUACCUCGGGAACCCCCUCCCCCCAGUAGGUUGCCG
Molecule: long non-coding RNA, 482 nt
Filed under: Setaria viridis
Lineage: Eukaryota; Viridiplantae; Streptophyta; Magnoliopsida; Poales; Poaceae
Description: long non-coding RNA (SVIR_LNC002019)
Source: RNAcentral